UACAGAGGGUGCAAGCGUUGUUCGGAAUUAUUGGGCGUAAAGCGCGUGUAGGCGGCUUUGCAAGUCGGGUGUGAAAGCCCUCGGCUCAACCGAGGAAGUGCGCCCGAAACUGCAGAGCUUGAGUACCGGAGAGGAUGGCGGAAUUCCCCAAGUAGAGGUGAAAUUCGUAGAUAUGGGGAGGAACACCGGUGGCGAAGGCGGCCAUCUGGACGGAUACGUGACGCUGAGACGCGAAAGCGUGGGGAGCAAACAGG
This 254-nucleotide ribosomal RNA is filed under the name uncultured bacterium. RNAcentral's name for it is "partial 16S ribosomal RNA". It matches the Rfam family "Bacterial small subunit ribosomal RNA", at positions 524 to 776 of the family's 1533-position model. The record is from RNAcentral.